RNAcentral lists this transfer RNA (77 nucleotides) under Chloroflexota bacterium. Its description in RNAcentral is "Chloroflexi bacterium tRNA-Arg". It matches the Rfam family "tRNA". Rfam says of the family: Transfer RNA (tRNA) molecules are approximately 80 nucleotides in length. Their secondary structure includes four short double-helical elements and three loops (D, anti-codon, and T loops). Further hydrogen bonds mediate the characteristic L-shaped molecular structure. tRNAs have two regions of fundamental functional importance: the anti-codon, which is responsible for specific mRNA codon recognition, and the 3' end, to which the tRNAs corresponding amino acid is attached (by aminoacyl-tRNA synthetases). tRNAs cope with the degeneracy of the genetic code in two manners: having more than one tRNA (with a specific anti-codon) for a particular amino acid; and 'wobble' base-pairing, i.e. permitting non-standard base-pairing at the 3rd anti-codon position. The record is from RNAcentral. RNAcentral also lists the same sequence under 4 other names. Lineage: Bacteria; Bacillati; Chloroflexota.
GCGCCCAUAGCUCAGCCCGGAUAGAGCAGCGGACUACGGAUCCGCGUGCGGGGGUUCAAAUCCUCCUGGGCGCGCCA